Oncorhynchus tshawytscha (Chinook salmon) is the source of this 630-nucleotide long non-coding RNA. The record is from Ensembl. Lineage: Eukaryota; Metazoa; Chordata; Actinopteri; Salmoniformes; Salmonidae.
UACAUGGAUGCAGUCAGGCUUUAGGUCUGGCCACAGCACUGUUUCAGCAACAUGGAGGGUUUUACAUGGAUGCAGUCAGGCUUUAGGUCUGGCCACAGCACUGUUUCAGCAACAUGGAGGGUUUUACAUGGAUGCAGUCAGGCUUUAGGUCUGGCCACAGCACUGUUUCAGCAACAUGGAGGGUUUUACAUGGAUGCAGUCAGGCUUUAGGUCUGGCCACAGCACUGUUUCAGCAACAUGGAGGGUUUUACAUGGAUGCAGUCAGGCUUUAGGUCUGGCCACAGCACUGUUUCAGCAACAUGGAGGGUUUUACAUGGAUGCAGUCAGGCUUUAGGUCUGGACACAGCACUGUUUCAGCAACAUGGAGGGUUUUACAUGGAUGCAGUCAGGCUUUAGGUCUGGACACAGCACUGUUUCAGCAACAUGGAGGGUUUUACAUGGAUGCAGUCAGGCUUUAGGUCUGGCCACAGCACUGUUUCAGCAACAUGGAGGGCAGGUAUGAUGUCAGGCUUGUUUUGUUCUGGUGGUGAUCUACCUUGCGUAGGUUUAAACACUGGUAUACACUGAUUUAUAAGGUCAUAUUGUAGGUUUAAACACUGGUAUACACUGAUUUAUAAGGUCAUAUUGUAG